RNAcentral lists this ribosomal RNA (495 nucleotides) under uncultured bacterium. Its description in RNAcentral is "partial 16S ribosomal RNA". It matches the Rfam family "Bacterial small subunit ribosomal RNA", at positions 28 to 507 of the family's 1533-position model. The record is from RNAcentral.
GACGAACGCUGGCGGCGUGCCUAAUACAUGCAAGUAGAACGCUGAAGGAGGAGCUUGCUUCUCUGGAUGAGUUGCGAACGGGUGAGUAACGCGUAGGUAACCUGCCUGGUAGCGGGGGAUAACUAUUGGAAACGAUAGCUAAUACCGCAUAAGAGUAGAUGUCGCAUGACAUUUGCUUAAAAGGUGCAAUUGCAUCACUACCAGAUGGACCUGCGUUGUAUUAGCUAGUUGGUGAGGUAACGGCUCACCAAGGCAACGAUACAUAGCCGACCUGAGAGGGGGAUCGGCCACACUGGGACUGAGACACGGCCCAGACUCCUACGGGAGGCAGCAGUAGGGAAUCUUCGGCAAUGGACGGAAGUCUGACCGAGCAACGCCGCGUGAGUGAAGAAGGUUUUCGGAUCGUAAAGCUCUGUUGUAAGAGAAGAACGAGUGUGAGAGUGGAAAGUUCACACUGUGACGGUAGCUUACCAGAAAGGGACGGCUAACUACGUG